GGCGCUUUAGCUCAGUUGGUAGAGCAGUGGACUGAAAAUCCAUGUGUCCCCGGUUCAAUUCCGGGAGGUGCCACCA
Molecule: transfer RNA, 76 nt
Filed under: Oligoflexales bacterium
Lineage: Bacteria; Pseudomonadati; Bdellovibrionota; Oligoflexia; Oligoflexales
Description: tRNA-Phe
Rfam family: tRNA
About the family: Transfer RNA (tRNA) molecules are approximately 80 nucleotides in length. Their secondary structure includes four short double-helical elements and three loops (D, anti-codon, and T loops).
Source: RNAcentral